This is a small nuclear RNA of Meriones unguiculatus (Mongolian gerbil), 105 nucleotides long. Lineage: Eukaryota; Metazoa; Chordata; Mammalia; Rodentia; Muridae. The record is from Ensembl.
GUGCUCAGUUUGGUAGCACAUGUACUAAAAUUGUAACAACACAGGGAAGAUUAUCAUGGCCCUUGUACAAGGAAGACAUGCAAAUUCAUAGUGUUCCAUCUUUAA